RNAcentral lists this Y RNA (100 nucleotides) under Prolemur simus (greater bamboo lemur). RNAcentral's name for it is "Y RNA (ENSPSMG00000013624.1)". It matches the Rfam family "Y RNA". From Rfam's summary of the family: Y RNAs are components of the Ro ribonucleoprotein particle (Ro RNP), in association with Ro60 and La proteins. The Y RNAs and Ro60 and La proteins are well conserved, but the function of the Ro RNP is not known. Lineage: Eukaryota; Metazoa; Chordata; Mammalia; Primates; Lemuridae. The record is from Rfam by way of RNAcentral.
GUUUGGUCUGAGUGCAGUGGCGUUUACUAUUAAUUGAUCACAACCAGUCACAGAUUCCUUUGUUCCUUCUACACCCCUACUGCUUCACCUGACCAAUAAA